UCCCUGCCUGCUUUCCCAGGACAGACAGCACAGGCAGUCAAGUUCUUUACAGUUUCAACAACUCCAGCCAUCUGGCCUUCUUCAGGAAGAUGAUAAAAACAUCAGUCUGUUUAAAAGUAGUUUUUCAAUGAAAUCGUAUGUUAGUUACUGCAACAUAUUGUCUCCAAAACCCAAAUGAAUGAUGCUAAGAGGGAAAUCAGAGGAGCUAAAAAAACAACUAUAUGGUAAUUACAUGAAUGGGAUAGGUCUAUCUGAAUAUUUGAGGAUAAAAGAGAAAGAGUGACAGACCCUUCAGUAUUUAAUUGUGCAAUGUUUCUAUUUUAACAAUGUGGAAAAUUUUGCAUUCACUGUUGAUUAGAGAGGAGUAAGUCUUUGUAUCCCUCUUCCAGAUCGCAAAAGGUAUCCUAGUGUAAGGCUCACCCGUCCACUCUUGUUCCCCUCCAGUUGUGACUGGGUCAGGUAUGGAGGUGUUGCAAGAUUUGAUUAACAUCUUUUGGAGCAGGCAAGAAACUGAUUGUUUUAGAUAUGAAAAAUCAGUCUCAGACCUCACAGGUGCUGCCCCCUCCCCCAGCACAGGCACAACCUUACUGUGGCUCAUAUCCUCCUUAUAGCUGAUGCCCAAACCCUUUGGUAUGCAGGUCUUAAGCAAUAUUGAGAUUUAAGCCUACAUUGACCAGUGAUCCUGAAUACUUCAGUUUUGGUUGCUUAUCACACUGGACUUUGUUUCAACCCUGCAGCUCCUACAGGGUUUCAACUAGAGUUGCAUAUGGCUCAGUACUGCUGAAAGUCACAAUCAGUAUGCAACAAGGUGCCCCAAACCAAGGGCCCUACAGUUAAUGGCCACUCCUGAAAACAUGGGCCUAUAUAUUUUUUUUAAAUAACAUAAUUUCAUUAGGACAUUUAGAAUAGUUGCUCUUUAUACAGACAGUUCUUUCCACGGUGGGCCUGACCCAUAGCCCCCAGCAGUAGUGUAACUAGGGAAGGAUGAUUGGGGCACCUGCCUUGGGCACCAACUUGGAGGAGGGGGGAAGGGGGCUAGAAAAUAACAGCCACUAAACUACACGCAGAGCACUGUGACAGUUGAA
Long non-coding RNA from Gavialis gangeticus (Gharial), 1085 nucleotides. RefSeq lists it as uncharacterized. Lineage: Eukaryota; Metazoa; Chordata; Crocodylia; Gavialidae. The transcript has 3 exons. The record is from RefSeq and is a predicted model, not a curated record.